RNAcentral lists this transfer RNA (68 nucleotides) under Stylochoplana maculata. RNAcentral's name for it is "tRNA-Arg". Lineage: Eukaryota; Metazoa; Platyhelminthes; Polycladida; Leptoplanidae. The record is from RNAcentral.
CGUGAGGAAUUCAAUAAAUGAAGGUUGGUUUCGGCCCAUCACGAGAGUAUACUCUUACUCCCUCAUGU